This 259-nucleotide ribosomal RNA is filed under the name uncultured bacterium. RNAcentral's name for it is "partial 16S ribosomal RNA". It matches the Rfam family "Bacterial small subunit ribosomal RNA", at positions 74 to 334 of the family's 1533-position model. The record is from RNAcentral.
CUUGCAAACUAAAGAUGGCGACCGGCGCACGGGUGAGUAACACGUAUCCAACCUGCCGAUAACUCGGGGAUAGCCUUUCGAAAGAAAGAUUAAUAUCCGAUGGUAUAUUAAAGCCGCAUGGUUUUACUAUUAAAGAAUUUCGGUUAUCGAUGGGGAUGCGUUCCAUUAGUUUGUUGGCGGGGUAACGGCCCACCAAGACUACGAUGGAUAGGGGUUCUGAGAGGAAGGUCCCCCACAUUGGAACUGAGACACGGUCCAA